This 2574-nucleotide long non-coding RNA is filed under the name Ricinus communis (castor bean). RNAcentral's name for it is "long non-coding RNA (RCOM_LNC001287)". The record is from RNAcentral. Lineage: Eukaryota; Viridiplantae; Streptophyta; Magnoliopsida; Malpighiales; Euphorbiaceae.
UGGAACCACUACUGCGGACAGUCUAGAUUUUUAAAUAGUUCAAAAAGUAAAAGAAAGAAAAUUAAUUACAAUAGGCCUGAAGGAGGAAGGAAGUUGGACUGUUUGGAAAAAGACGGCGGAGGAUCUAGCUGUCAUUUGAAAAAUCAAAAUUGAGACUGUCAGUUUCAAGAGUGAGUUAAAAUUGCAUAAUCCAAGUAAAUACAACAAUCUUGGUGAAAUAUUUGUUUUAUUAAAAUAAAUCAUAUUAUUAUAUUAAAACAUGUGUCAUGUCAUAUUUCAAAAAAAUAUCAUUUAGCAUGUACGAGACAAGUACCUCAACAAAAUCCUGGACUCCAAUACUAUUAGCCAAUUUGCUCUCUUAUUCCAAUAAGAGUGGCGCCCAGAGAGCGAAGCUCAACCAGGGUCCUUAAAUCCAGUUUGGACACUUAAUUUCCAAUUUAUCCGGCACCUAAAGAGUAAUGUUGGACCAGAGACCUUUCCUUCGGCAACCAAAUUUCCACAGCCCAAAGAGUUAUACUCGACCAGGACACAUCACAAAAAUAUUUCCUUAUUACCUGUCUCUGAUUUAUACUGGUGCACACGUGGUACCGAUACAACCUAUCAGGUGGCAUGUUCUAUUGCCGCCUCAUUCUGAGUCAUAAUACAAUCAUAACAUUAAUAAUAUGAAAAAUUGUAUAGAUCGCAGGAAUUCUUAAUAUUAUUCAAUAAAUUAUUAAGUAUUUAAAUUAAAUAGCAUCGAAUAUAUGGAUCGCUAUAAUAAUAAUAAUGAGAUUUAUGAUGGUAAAAUAAUAAUUAAAUAAAUGAUAAAUAAAUAAAUCAAGAAAUAAUUAAUUAAUUAAUUAAAUAUAUAAUAAAUAAUAAAAAAUUUAGACAAUAUCCAUAAUAACAAAAAAUAGUUAAUAAUGAUAAUAAUACUAAUAAUAUUCGUAAUAAUUAUUAACAAAAAAUGUUGCAUUAAAAUUUGGCAUGGCACAUAUGCAAACAUUAUAUAACUUUAACUCAUAGUUCUGACGACCCCUUGCUCUGCUUCUAUGCCUCAGGUGGAGCUGACUGAAUCGACGGGUUAUCUAUUCACGGAAAUAAUACAAUCAAUAAAAAUAAAAUAUUUAGUAAACAACCCUAAGCCUAGACUCCUAGAAUUGACUGCUUAAAGAAAUUCCGACUGAUUCGACUUAGAAAUUCUACCAAAAAUUUGGCAGAAUCUUUCAUAAAAUAUAGACUGUUAACCCCCGUAAAACGGGUCCAAAUCCUGCUAAAAAACACUUCAAAUAUUCAUUACAUAAUUAUUAGGAAUCGAGUCACCCAUAACUGCAUUAUUUUUCCGACUCUACAAUACAACACAGAUCUCAAUUAAUAAUAGACAGUCCAAUAUUAGCAUUUAUUUCACAACUAGUUCACAAAUAAUUCUUGGUAUCUAAUUUAAUUAUUCGCAACCAUAAUGAUCGCAAAACCAAAUAAUAACUAAUCAUACUAAUUAAUUCAUAAUAUUUAUAAUUAAAUUAUUAAUUAAUUAAAUCUAAUUAAAUUAUUUAUAAUUGAUAAUUAAUAGUAAUAAGAUUUCUUAAAAUUCUAAAAUAAUUUUUAAGAUCCAAAUAAAAUUUAGUGCACGUCUAAAAAAACACCGGAGUCCAAAAGCCGGUACAAAAAACGGUGUCAGAGUUCGAAUCUGAAGGUGCCUACGUGAAGCUUGAGUUGUGAGGAGUCUGAAUAUACAAUUGUUUCUAUUGAAAUCUCGCCGGAAGCCACCGGAUCGAGGCCAGAAAGUUUUGGCUCCGGUGAAGCUCAUACACCAGGAGAGGAAGGAGAACCUAAUUCAUCUCUUAAAAUUCCUCAUAAAGGCCAUAACCAACUUCUUUAGUUAUGUACCCGCCUUUCUCUAUUUUGAGUAAUCCCUCAUACUCGUCAAGUAAAGCCUCACUUUGAUCACUUAUCUGCAUCUCGUGCAAUCAACAUGCUUUGGUUGAGAAAGACCCCUCAAAAUAAUGCUCCUAACCAAAUGGCGUUCCCUCAUUAAUAGGAUCCGACUCGGAAUCCCCCCUUUGCAUGACCUAGAAAGAAAAAAAGUCCGUUGGGGGGAGAAAAACAGGAAAGAAGGGUUGCCUUGGUUUUUUGGAGUCUAGGACCCCGUUUCCAGCAUCAGAUUGAUGAAGGGAUGUCAGGAGGAGGUCGAACCGGUGGUGGCAGCGGGGAGACGUCUUCUCCUCCCUGCUGCAGCGGAAUCUAGUGAGAGUGAAGGGAAGUGAGCGGCGCCGGCUAAAAAGGAAGAAGGAUAGAGGCGUUUAUCGGUGGCUGGUGGUAAGGGACGACAAAAAUGAGGAUGAGGAUGGGGCUGUGUGGCGGGGAAGGAAGGAGGAAGGAGAGGAAAAAAGAGAGAGAGAGAGAGAGAGAGAGAGUGAGAGGCCUCAAUGCAUAUUCUUUCCUUCUUCUUCUUUUUUUUUUUUUUAAAAAUUUCGCUCUAGUCCCCCGUCUUAAUUGAGCUACAAAAACACCCCCACUUAAAAUACAUUACAUUUAUAUGAUAAUUAGUCACAACAAUUUAACUUAAUAAAAUUACACUUAUUUAUUUAAAUUCAC